Long non-coding RNA from Oncorhynchus tshawytscha (Chinook salmon), 5699 nucleotides. Lineage: Eukaryota; Metazoa; Chordata; Actinopteri; Salmoniformes; Salmonidae. The record is from Ensembl.
GAGUCCGCUAGAUUAGAGGCCAUAGAGAUGACCAGGGAUUUUCUCUUGAUAAAUGCGUGAAUUAGACAAUUUUCUUGUCCUACUAAGCAUUCAAAACGUAACAAGUACUUUUGGGUGUUAAGGAAAUUGUUUGGAGUAAAUAGUACAUAAUUUUCUUUAGGAAUCAAAUCAAAUCAAACUGUAUUUGUCACAUGCGCCGAAUACAAGUGUAGAAAUGCUUACUUUACAAGCCCUUUACCAACAGUGCAGUUCAAGAAAGAAUAUAGUGAAGUAAAAGUCAAAGUUGUAAAAAAGAAACGACUUAAGUAGUAAGUUCAAGUAAUUUUCUUAAGUACGUUACACCACUGCCGGUGGGGCUUUACUUGGCUCAUCGCGUUGUAGCAACUCCUUCGCAAGUGUCACACCCUGACCUUAGUUAUCUUUGUUUUCUUUAUUAUUUUGGUUAGGUCAGGGUGUGACGAGGGUGGUAUGUGUGUUUUUUGCCUUGUCUAGGGUUUUUUGUAUUCUAUGGGGUUUUGGAAUGUCUAGGUAUAUGUAGGUCUAUGGUGGCCUGAAUUUGUUCCCAAUCAGAGACAGCUGUUUAUCGUUGUCUCUGAUUGGGGAUCCUAUUUAGGUUGCUGUUUUCCAUUUUGGUUUUGUGGGUUAUUGUCUGUGUAGUUGCCUGUCAGCUUCACUUUCGUGUUGUUAGUUUGUUUAGUGUUCGUCGUAUAAUAAAAGGAAGAAUGUAUUCUUAUCACGCUGCGCCUUGGCCUCCUUAUGACGAACAUGACAGAAUAACCCACCAUAACAGGACCAAGCAGCGUUAAAAGGAGGAGCAGACGUUAUGGACUUGGGAAGAGAUUUUGGAUGGAACAGGAUCCUGGACAUGGGAGGAAAUACUAGAUGGAGCAGGACCCUGGACGCAGCCUGGCGAGUAUCGAGAGAGGAGAAAUACCGGAGAAUAGAGGAACGGCGACGAUAUGAGGGUACACGGCUAGCACGGAAGCCAGAGAGGCAGCCCCAAUAAAAAAAAACAAUUUGGGGGGGCAGACGAGGAGAUUGGAUGAGUCAGGUAGGAGACUUGAGCCAGGGAGCGUGUAACUGGUCGUGUAACUGGUGAGGCACCGUGUUAUGCAGAGAUGAGCACAGUGUCUUCAGUGCGCUAUUCUAGCCUGGUGCGCUCUAUUCCAGCUCCUCGCAUUUGCCGGGCUAGAAUGGACAUCCAGCCAGGACGUAUUGAGCCAGCUCUAUGUUCUGGAUCUCCAAUGCGUCUCCACGGUCCAGUGUAUCCUGUCCCUCUUCCCCGCACUCGCCCUGAGGUGUGUGUCCCCAGCCCGGUACCACCAGUGCUGGCACCACGCACCAGGCCUACAGUACCCAGUCCAGAGCGUCCGGCGACAGUACCCAGUCCAGAGCGUCCGGCGACAGUACCCAGUCCAGAGCGUCCGGCGACAGUACCCAGUCCAGAGCGUUCGGUGACAGUACCCAGUCAGGAACCUCCAACAACGGGCCACAGUCCGGGGUCUCCAGCGACGGUCCCCAGUCCAGAACAUCCAGCGAUGAUCAGUGCAGCGAGGAUCCACGCAGCGAGGGUCCCCAGCCCGGGGCCUACGGCGAGAACCCGCAGUCCAGAGCCCCCGACGAAGAUCCACGGGUCAGGGCUACAAGAGCGGACUCAGGGUAAAGAAGGGGGGGCUGCGUUCAGAACCAGAGCCGCCACCGAGGUUAGAUGCCCACCCAGACCCUCCCAAAUAGGUUUAGGUUUGCGGCCGGGAGUCCGCACCUUUGGUGGGGUACUGUCACGCCCUGACCUUAGUUAUCUUUGUUUUCUUUAUUAUUUUGGUUAGGUCAGGGUGUGACGAGGGUGGUAUGUGUGUUUUGGUCUUGUCUAGGGUUUUUUGUAUUCUAUGGGGCUUUGGAAUGUCUAGGUAUAUGUAGGUCUAUGGUGGCCUGAAUUGGUUCCAAUCAUAGACAGCAGUUGAUCGUUGUCUCUGAUUGGGGAUCCUAUUUCGGUUGCCAUUUUCCAUUUUGGUUUUGUGGGUUAUUGUCUGUGUAGUUGCCUGUCAGCUUCACUUUCGUUUUGUUAGUUUGUUUUGUGUUCAUCGUAUAAUAAAAGGAAGAAUGUAUUCUUAUCACGCUGCGCCUUGGUCACCUUAUGACAAACGUGACAAAGGUUGCCAACAUUAGCUCAUUAAUAACCUCUUACAGCUACCCCCCUUUCCGCCUGAAGACAUACCCAAAUCUAACGGCCUGUAGCUCAGGCCCAGAGCCAAGGAUAUGCAUAUUAUUGGUUUCAUUUGAAAGAAAACACUCUGCAGUUUGUGUUAAUGUGAAUUGAAUGUAGGAGAAUAUAACACAAUAGAUCUGGUUUAGAUAAUACAAUGAAAAAACCAUACGUUUUUUCUUUUUAUUGUUGUAUCAUCUUUCAAAUGAACAAGACAAAACAAACAUUCAGAUAGGAUGAUGGGGACAAGUUCAGUGAAAAACAUAAGAGGGCAACAGUACUUGUUCAGAAAGAUUUCUUCCAAAAUGAGUCUGCUACAUGACAUUUAUCAUGAAGUCACCCAGGUGUCCCACACAAGUAGCCCAAAUGUACCCAAGUGGCCAAAUUGGUGAAGUUAUACAUUUUGAAUGGAAUAACUAUAUACAAUUUACCAAAAUGGUAUUUUAACACACCCCCGCCAAAAAAGUGGAGAAAAACAUGAAAAAAUAUAUAUACAUUUACAAAAUAACACUUUCAAUAUUUGGAAGACCCUCAGUCCUCUACACAAUAUUGUGCUGCUGAUGCCAGGUGCCAUAGCAGUCUCUUUUUGCUGUAAAGCAGAGGGUCACCAAGCAUGUGGUGCAGGUGAUGGGGGACUUCAUUUUGCAAAGAACACAGCGACGCCUCCAUGCUGUGCCCUUUUGGCCCUGAGGCACAUCCAUGCAUGCAGAAAUACAUUUGGGCAGAUGAACACCACUUGUGGCAGGAGCAGAAGGGACAGAGGUAGAGGGGCCAGAACGUGGUGCAUUGGUGCUGUAGCCAGCAAGCUCCUUGAUGAGCAGCUCUCUGAAGGCUAGCUGUGAGAUGGGGGGCUUUCCACAGCUCUUAGCCAUUUCCUUGUGUAGGAUGAAUGCAUUCACCACAGUAAUGUCGAUAAAAUGAUAGAAGAAGGUCUUGUACCAUUUCAUCGUCUUAUGGAGAACAUUGUAAUAGCCUAUCAGCGCAUCUGACAGGUCCACACCUCCCAUGCUCUUGUUGUAGUCCUUUAUUGCAGUUGGAAUGGGGACAUUUUCUGCGGUCCAUGCCCCAGUAGCGCUGAGACAACAGGUGUCCGCCUGGAUGAACCAGCUUCAGUGGGGGAUGGACACCUUGGCACUGGGGGCUCCCAUUCAGAGUCAGUGUCACUGUGAAAGAAAAUGUUCAGUUAGAAUAGUUUCACAUAUGAGCCCUGUAUCAACAGGUAUAAUAAUCAGAUAUAUAUAGAGUACAGGGAACAUAAGGUUGAAUAUAUUAUUAUAGACCUGCUAGAUCUACUGUCUCAUUUAUAUUAUGACAGACCAGCUAGAUCUACUGUCUAUUUUAUAUUAUGACAUUUCAGCUAGAUCUACGGUCUCUAUUAUAUAUGACAGACCAGCUAGAUCUACUGUCUUUAUUAUAUUACAACAGACCAGCUGUAUCUACUGUCUCCAUUUCACUUUGGCCAUUGUUGUGGGCCUGCCCUCCCCUCAACAGCGUCAAAUAGGCUAUUUCAUGUGGGGGUGGGGUGGAGCAGCAGACACACGCAUCUCGGCCAUGCUCCCUCUAAUCCACAAUAUGUAUAUAUACACACACAAACAUAGGCUAUGGGUCAUACACAUACAUACAAACAUACCCCCACCCACAAUCUAUAGCCAACGUGUACUUUACACAUUUCAGUACAUUUUUAUAUAUUGCUACUAACAUUUAAAAUAAAUCACAAAUAAUAUUUUAGAUUAUUAAUUUCAAACAACGGCAUUAGCAUGAGAAGAACUUACCAGUCCAAAACGAUGUCCUCUCCGUUAAAAAAAUAUUCCUCCAUUUGGGAAUCAAAACUAUGCUAGCUAAAUGAAUCGUCCUCCAACAAUCCCCUUUCCCGAUCAAUUUCUUCUAAAAUUGUGUGUACAUCUGUAUAUCUAGACUUAGAUUUAGCUUUCCCUGGACUUAGUCGCCAUACUGAUUGAUAUAUAAACAGCUGAAGAUGCGCUUUACCAAAAUAGUGCUGUACACAACAUGAGUGGCUCCUUCCAGUAUGAAUCUUCAAUGGCGAAUGACCAUCUUUACGCCGGAGUUUACUACAUGGGUUGGUCUUCCAACACAUAACCAUUACAUAUUGCCAUUUACCUCAGCUCAUUGGCUAUCCACCAAGCUAGAUUUCAAGACGACCAAUGGUCAUUGGGUUAAAAUACAGUCAAUCAACGAAACAGCGGUCAUAUCAUUGGUGCACAAUGAUGUCAUUACUUGUUGUCUUCAAAUUGGUUUCUUUCAGUCAAUACGUCCCGCGAAAUGACCCAUCAUGUUUUGUUGUGUUACAAACAAUCAGUUGAUUGCAAUGAAACCAAACAUGACUGGAUGAAGUCACGUUUAGUGUGUGUAUUUACAUCGAAUGUGUCGUCGAAAAUUGAAUGAGACGGAAUUCACGACACAAGCGGUUCACAAAAUGUUUCGUGUUAGGCUAUAAAAAUGGAUUUUAUCAAACAAAAGACCAUUCAUUGUGUAACAAUGAGCAUUGGGAUUGCAAACAGAGGAAGAUCGUCAAAGGUAAAAAUGUAUUUUAUUGCAAUUUGUUAUUUUGUUAUGCCUGUGCUGGUUGAAAUAGUUUUUUUUAUGGGGCUCUGUCCUCAGAUAAUCGCAUCGUAUUCUUUCGCAGUAAAUCCUUUUUUAAAUCUGUCAACGCAGUUGGAUUAGCAAGAUUCUCGGCUUUCGGAACACGUGAGACACUUGUAUUUUCAUUCAUGUUUAAUAUGACUAUUUAUGUAGCGAUCACCGUAUGUUGCCGAAUUGAAUUCCACUAACGGGUUCGGCAGAGAGGUUAAUUCUUCGUUAAGUCCUUGCAACAGUUGUUUUUGUCAAUAAAAUUAUCAAUAAAUUUCCUUUAACAUCCUUUGUUGUGUGCUUAUUAUUUUACCAUUGAUAUGUUCUAGGCUAUUUUGAGACCUUAUGGAGGAUCAGGUACUGCUGGAAUGUCCUCCAAUGGCAUGUCCAUCUUUUUCUGAGAAAUUACACUGGUCACUCAGAACAUUUGUAAAGUAUUUAUAAAGUAUAAAUAGCCCAUACUUUAGACAAGGUCCCACAAAAUACUUAACUAAUGAUUAAUGAAUGGUUUGUAAGGACCUAUAUUAAACAUUUUAUGACUGGAGUAAUGAUUAAUACAUGAUAAAUAAACUAUUUACCAACCAGUAUAAAUGCUUUAUGUGGAGUUAUUAUGAAGGUGUACCAAUAUUCCAUGUGAAAUCAGCAGUUUUGGUGUACAGGGCUUUUGGCUUACUUUAUGAAUUGUGUUGUGAUUUUGUCUUGUUUUUUUAUUAAUACAGAUGUAUUUUUCUCUGUAUACCUUCCUAUAUUACAUAAGCAUUGAUGCUGUGUUUCUUUUCUGAUUCAGUCCUUGUAUUGUAGAGUAUAGCUCCAAAAGCUUGUAUUUACCGAUGCCUUUACGGUCCGUGGCUUAGUGACGGGUAGAUUCAUCAGAAGCUUUUUAUUUGCACUCAUCCUCAACAAAAAU